CCCUGACGAGGAGGUGGUGUGUGAUACUGUUCCAGGAACAUUCCCGUUCCCGCCGUUCGAUCGUGAGAACAAGAAACCCGUGUCAAGAACAGCAGGCCGCCCGAACUCGACCACUACUGAGGUGCGUAUAUGAUCAGUCACCAGACCCUCGUAACUGCAGCCUCUUCAUGCAAUGAUCACCCUGUGGAAAUUGCAGGCUUAAAGUGACAUGGCCAACUCCCCAUUCUACGGCGAAUGUGCAAAACUCGAAACUGGCAUAAUUAUUUCGAGACGGCCGUCACUUAUCAUUGCCAUUGUAAAAAGCCUUGCUCACUGAAGACUUCUUUCUUGAGAGUGACCACGGAUGUGCUUCUGCAUGCUACAUGGAUUUUGCGCAUGAAUGAAUUUUUGGAGAGAGAGUCUGUGAUAAUAACGUAUUAAGCGUCGUUGAAGUGGGACAGGUCUGUCGUUACGGUUUGCCAUGGUUAUUGAGAGCUCAGAGGCAGGAGUGGUUGGUGAGGCUGUGUGUGCAGGUGUGGCUGGCAUACACACUGUAUCGUCCGAUCAAUUAUUCUAUGUCGUUGAUGAUUCCUGGCCAGCUCGAAAAAAUGAGCUGGCAUUUGUGAACAGCCUAGAUGCCCACUGCAGCGUGUAUUUUGUCGAGUACCUCUUGGCGCAUAGUCGCCACAUGAAUGAUGAUCCCGCCUCCUUUGAUGACCAGUCCGUCGUCAGUCACCUGAUAGUUCACCCUUGCAUGACCAGUAAUGACAAAUGCAUUUAGGGAGGUCUUCAGGAUCCUCCGCACUAACCAUGAUUGUCUCUGACAAUGAUCGCACGACGGCGUCACUGGCCCUUAAAUUUGUUGUUUCAGUUGGGACAGUCUUGCCCAGGAAAACCUGCAUGGCAUAGACUGUUGUGUCAAAAUGAUAAUCGCAAGUUCAGAUGCAGGGUUUAGUCUGGACAUCGCUUUGAGCACCAUGUCGCGACGUGGUUUGUAGACGACUGUGAAAUCGAUUGGUUGCAAUCGUACCAUCAAAUUUUGAAGGAGUGUUCGUUUGUGUUUGAAAUGUUCCAAGGUCUUUUCAUCGGAUUCAGCAACUAAUUUGGAUCUGUACAAAACGCGUUCGACCGAAAACCGUAGCCAGCAACUCGCAUUUGCAUGUACCGCCAUUCAGUUUCUGUUAAAGCGACGGCUUUGUUGUUCCUCCAGAGAUCUGCCCGUUGGAAGACACAUCAACUUGUACAACUAGUGUUGGGAGUUGAAGUAGCCUUAAGUUCCUCCUUGAUCUUAAUGGGGUAAUCUUGUGGAGGCUACGAGACCUGAUCACGCGUUGUUUUAGUUGCGUCACAAGGCACCGGGCUAAUCACGUCAGACGUUUCCGGUGCCCAACAGCCCUGCCAACGGAGUUUUCAGACCGAAAUGGCAUACUUCCAUCCCAACGGACUCGCCUCUAGCCGCUCAGGAACUUUCCGGUCCGUUCCGUCCGACCGUCACGCCUCGAGGAGGAGGGAGCCCUCGCCUUCGUCGGAGGGCGUGACGUCACAAUAUGGAAAGCAGGCUUAACUGGAGGGAGCCUGGCUCCGUAGCUAAGAAAACAGCGCCCUCUCUUGGUCCAGCUUGAGGCCCAUUGUGUCCACAGUGCUUCAUUAGGCUAAUCAAGCCACAGUUAAUAUGUAAUGUAAUGUUGUGGAGCUCUAUAGUGCAAACGGGGCCGUCUUAAUUGAAAAAAAAUCACCUUCGGGGAAACGGGUCUUGUUACCAAAAUAAAUAAAUAAAUAAAUGAUAAUAAUAAUUAUAUCAUUUCAUGUUAAAUCUUCGCGCAUUUUGUUGGACCUUAGUUAUCAUUAAACUGGGUUUUUUGGUCUUUCUGAUCUUUGUUUUUUUCGGGGUGUUUGGGCACUUAUGAUGGGAUCUGCACGAGUGCUGCUUGAAACACCAAUGUUCGUCCAGACUGUCUUAGGGAGCUGCAUCGCAUCACGAAACUAGGUCAGGACAUACAAGCUCACCUUGACGCAUAGUCAUGGUUGAAGCACAACAUGGUUGGAAAGCCGGCAAGACUAAAUUGGAAUCUGAAAGCGCGCAACCUCCGACAGUGGCCAGGUCAACUCUUAACUUGCACGGCAGCAAAGACGUUGACCAGUCCCUUUGUUGUUGAAACUUACAAAGAUAAUAUGUCAUUUUAUGCCUAAAUGUCUCGACAGACCAUUCUAAAUUGACUGUUCACUUACACAAAACGUGCCAUGAAAAACCACAGUGCUUCGAUAUUAACGCCUGGUUUCUGCUAAUUUCUUUGUUGAGGUUGUGUAAGUAUGGUCUCAGUAGAUUCAGGGGCACCCAUCUGGGGGCAAAGUAGACAAAAAUGUCACUGGAGAUUUGUGAGAAGAACCCCAGAAAGGUGCGGGAUGUCAUUUGAAAAAUGGCAGCUGAGAAGACUUGGAAACAUUCAC
Molecule: long non-coding RNA, 2427 nt
Organism: Acanthaster planci (crown-of-thorns starfish)
Lineage: Eukaryota; Metazoa; Echinodermata; Asteroidea; Valvatida; Acanthasteridae
Source: RefSeq, a predicted model, not a curated record